Molecule: ribosomal RNA, 253 nt
Filed under: uncultured bacterium
Lineage: Bacteria
Description: partial 16S ribosomal RNA
Rfam family: Bacterial small subunit ribosomal RNA
Source: RNAcentral
UACGGAGGGGGCUAGCGUUGUUCGGAAUUACUGGGCGUAAAGCGCACGUAGGCGGCUAUUCAAGUCGGGGGUGAAAGCCCGAGGCUCAACCUCGGAACUGCCUUCGAUACUGCGGGUCUCGAGUCCGGGAGAGGUGAGUGGAAUUCCUAGUGUAGAGGUGAAAUUCGUAGAUAUUCGCAAGAACACCAGUGGCGAAGGCGGCUCACUGGCCCGAUACUGACGCUGAGGCACGAAAGCGUGGGGAGCAAACAGG